RNAcentral lists this ribosomal RNA (346 nucleotides) under uncultured bacterium. RNAcentral's name for it is "partial 16S ribosomal RNA". It matches the Rfam family "Bacterial small subunit ribosomal RNA", at positions 338 to 681 of the family's 1533-position model. The record is from RNAcentral.
CCUACGGGAGGCAGCAGUGAGGAAUAUUGGUCAAUGGACGAGAGUCUGAACCAGCCAAGUAGCGUGAAGGAUGACUGCCCUAUGGGUUGUAAACUUCUUUUAUAAGGGAAUAAAAUGAGGCACGUGUGGGAUUUUGUAUGUACCAUAUGAAUAAGGAUCGGCUAACUCCGUGCCAGCAGCCGCGGUAAUACGGAGGAUCCGAGCGUUAUCCGGAUUUAUUGGGUUUAAAGGGAGCGUAGUGGGCUUGUUAAGUCAGUUGUGAAAGUUUGCGGCUCAACCGUAAAAUUGCAUUUGAAACUGGCAGUCUUGAUUACAGUCGAGGUGGGCGGACUUCGUGGUGUAGCGG